Molecule: non-coding RNA, 734 nt
Organism: Arachis ipaensis
Lineage: Eukaryota; Viridiplantae; Streptophyta; Magnoliopsida; Fabales; Fabaceae
Source: RefSeq, a predicted model, not a curated record
ACACACACCAACAAAGACCAAAUGGUCAGAAUUCUCCAUGAGUUAACCCUGUGGACCCUUACAUUUUGCUAUAAAUAUUACUCUCCCACCACAAACUGCAUCGCAAAGAAAAUCAGGGUAACCUCCCCAACAAUUCAUAACUCAUGCAUGCUCCCGUGAUGCCAAGGGCGCAUCGAACAACCAAGAUGUCAAGAGCUACACCCCCCUCGCGAUGCAAAAACAAGCUCCCACUCCUAUAUCUUCAUAACCGACUCCAUGCAUGGGAUUGGGUGAAAUUGGCAAAAAAUAUAUCAACCUUGUAAGAAUCUGACUACCAGGAUCCUCGCCGUCCUUGCAUGCCGCGGCAAAUUUCACGUUUAGGAAGGCCGCGGCGACUAGCAAGCUAGCCACUCUACCAAUGUGUCUAGCAACAACCCAUGCAAGGUUCUGAGUACGAUCGCACUGGACAUUUUGUGGAAGAGCAAGGGAUCACGAUUUGCAGUUCGAGUGCCAUCAGUUCGAGUCGCCAAAGAAACAAGCAAAAUCAAUCCAAACCCAAAUCGUAAAGAAGACUUCCGCUCACCGUCACUCUCUCUGGGCAGAUUGAUCAAUAAAAAUGAGGUGGCAGUAAAAAAACUUCUUAAAAAAUAGAACAAGAAGAGAGAAUUCAUAAUUGAAGUGGAGGCUAUAGGUCAUGUUAGAGAUAAAUAUCUUGUGUGCCUGUUUGGAGGGAGUUAAACAGAGUAAUGGAUGCA